This 74-nucleotide transfer RNA is filed under the name Thermoplasmata archaeon. RNAcentral describes it as "tRNA-Lys". It matches the Rfam family "tRNA". Rfam says of the family: Transfer RNA (tRNA) molecules are approximately 80 nucleotides in length. RNAcentral also lists the same sequence under 2 other names. Lineage: Archaea; Methanobacteriati; Thermoplasmatota; Thermoplasmata. The record is from RNAcentral.
GGGCUUGUAGCUCAGCUAGGUAGAGCAAUCGGCUCUUAACCGAUCGGUCAGGGGUUCGAAUCCCCUCAAGCCCG